AUUCCAGCUCCAAUAGCGUAUAUUAAAGUUGUUGCAGUUAAAAAGCUCGUAGUUGGAUUUCUGGGAGGGUGCCAAUGUCCGUCGUCGUACGUGUUGCAGCGGCGCCCUUCCAUCCUUCUGUUAACGACUUUGGGCAUUCACUUGCCGGAGUCGGGCUCAGAUAUUUUACCUUGAGAAAAUUAGAGUGUUUCAGGCAGGCUAGGCCGGAAUACAUUAGCAUGGAAUAAUGGAAUAGGACUACGGUCUCUUUGUUGGUUUGAGGAACUGCAGUAAUGAUUAAUAGGGAUAGUUGGGGGUAUUCGUAUUUAAUUGUCAGAGGUGAAAUUCUUGGAUUUAUGAAAGACGAACUUCUGCGAAAGCAUUUACCAAAGAUGUUUUCAUCG
Molecule: ribosomal RNA, 383 nt
Filed under: Strombidium sp.
Lineage: Eukaryota; Ciliophora; Spirotrichea; Strombidiidae
Description: partial small subunit ribosomal RNA
Rfam family: Eukaryotic small subunit ribosomal RNA
Source: RNAcentral